RNAcentral lists this long non-coding RNA (528 nucleotides) under Zonotrichia albicollis (white-throated sparrow). RNAcentral's name for it is "lncRNA (ENSZALG00000006806.1)". Lineage: Eukaryota; Metazoa; Chordata; Aves; Passeriformes; Passerellidae. The record is from RNAcentral.
AAGCGCUCAGAAGACAAAGGAUGAUAAGAGAAGAAACAGCACGGAUGUUCUGAGAACAAAUCAUAUCCAGCUCCCUUCUGCAGAUAAGGAAAGAUGCUCCAAACUCACCCUGGGAAGGAGGAGCCUUGGGAAGUGCAGGAAUCCAGUGAUGAGGAUGAAGAGCAAACCCUGCUGCAGUGACUGAGGGCCUCUUCUACCCACCCUGCUGUAUUUGCUAUUCCUGCUCUGCAGCCUGGGAGGAGUUCAGUCCAUUAUUAAACCAAAUUCCAGCUCUGUCUUGUCAGGCUUAAUGCAGCUUUGAAAGUCAGGGCCCAAGACAAGCACCUGAAUGUCCCAUUGCUUAAAACCACACACCUAAAUCCACCUUACAGACCCAAAUAAGCCAGAGGAGUUCUGAAAAUGCUGAGAAUCUCCAACAUCCACAGCCCCAGGUGAUACCCAGCAUCUUUAGAAAUAGAAAGCUCUGAUUAGUACCAGAAUAGCUGUGAAAUGCCUGGUACCCCCACUUGAGUAUCUUCUUCAGAGAAC